GGUUUCCGUAGGUGAACCUGCGGAAGGAUCAUUAUCGUAA
This 40-nucleotide ribosomal RNA is filed under the name Ciona intestinalis (vase tunicate). RNAcentral's name for it is "partial 18S ribosomal RNA". Lineage: Eukaryota; Metazoa; Chordata; Ascidiacea; Phlebobranchia; Cionidae. The record is from RNAcentral.